This 352-nucleotide ribosomal RNA is filed under the name Prosoestus minor. RNAcentral's name for it is "SSU rRNA". It matches the Rfam family "Eukaryotic small subunit ribosomal RNA", at positions 1172 to 1489 of the family's 1831-position model. The record is from RNAcentral. Lineage: Eukaryota; Metazoa; Arthropoda; Insecta; Coleoptera; Curculionidae. RNAcentral also lists the same sequence under 2 other names.
AGGAGUGGAGCCUGCGGCUUAAUUUGACUCAACACGGGAAACCUCACCAGGCCCGGACACCGGAAGGAUUGACAGAUUGAGAGCUCUUUCUUGAUUCGGUGGGUGGUGGUGCAUGGCCGUUCUUAGUUGGUGGAGCGAUUUGUCUGGUUAAUUCCGAUAACGAACGAGACUCUAGCCUGCUAACUAGGCGUAUUUUGACAUCCUAAAGGCCCGCCGGCUCGGGGUUCGCUCCUUGUCGUGCGCGGUUUUUACUGUCGGCGUACUAACAAUUCUUCUUAGAGGGACAGGCGGCUUCUAGCUGCACGAGAUUGAGCAAUAACAGGUCUGUGAUGCCCUUAGAUGUUCUGGGCCG